This 253-nucleotide ribosomal RNA is filed under the name uncultured bacterium. RNAcentral describes it as "partial 16S ribosomal RNA". It matches the Rfam family "Bacterial small subunit ribosomal RNA", at positions 524 to 776 of the family's 1533-position model. The record is from RNAcentral.
GACGUAGGUGGCGAGCGUUAUCCGGAUUUACUGGGCGUAAAGCGCGCGUAGGCGGAUCGCUAAGUCAGGGGUGAAAUCCCAGGGCUCAACCCUGGAACUGCCUUUGAUACUGACGAUCUGGAGAUCGGGAGAGGUUGGUGGAAUUCCGAGUGUAGAGGUGAAAUUCGUAGAUAUUCGGAGGAACACCAGAAGCGAAGGCGGCCAACUGGCCCGAUACUGACGCUGAGGCGCGAAAGCGUGGGGAGCAAACAGG